This 497-nucleotide ribosomal RNA is filed under the name uncultured bacterium. RNAcentral's name for it is "partial 16S ribosomal RNA". It matches the Rfam family "Bacterial small subunit ribosomal RNA", at positions 28 to 507 of the family's 1533-position model. The record is from RNAcentral.
GAUGAACGCUGGCGGCGUGCCUAAUACAUGCCAGUCGAGCGAACGGACGAGAAGCUUGCUUCUCUGAUGUUAGCGGCGGACGGGUGAGUAACACGUGGAUAACCUACCUAUAAGACUGGGAUAACUUCGGGAAACCGGAGCUAAUACCGGAUAAUAUUUUGAACCGCAUGGUUCAAAAGUGAAAGACGGUCUUGCUGUCACUUAUAGAUGGAUCCGCGCUGCAUUAGCUAGUUGGUAAGGUAAUGGCUUACCAAGGCAACGAUGCAUAGCCGACCUGAGAGGGUGAUCGGCCACACUGGAACUGAGACACGGUCCAGACUCCUACGGGAGGCAGCAGUAGGGAAUCUUCCGCAAUGGGCGAAAGCCUGACGGAGCAACGCCGCGUGAGUGAUGAAGGUCUUCGGAUCGUAAAACUCUGUUAUUAGGGAAGAACAUAUGUGUAAGUAACUGUGCACAUCUUGACGGUACCUAAUCAGAAAGCCACGGCUAACUACGUG